This 499-nucleotide ribosomal RNA is filed under the name uncultured bacterium. Its description in RNAcentral is "partial 16S ribosomal RNA". It matches the Rfam family "Bacterial small subunit ribosomal RNA", at positions 30 to 523 of the family's 1533-position model. The record is from RNAcentral.
AUUGAACGCUGGCGGCAUGCCUUACACAUGCAAGUCGAACGGCAGCACGGGUGUUUGCACCUGGUGGCGAGUGGCGGACGGGUGAGUAAAGCAUCGGAACAUGCCCACUUGUGGGGGAUAACGCACCGAAAGGUGUGCUAAUACCGCAUAGCCCUGAGGGGGAAAGCAGGGGAUCUUCGGACCUUGCGCAGGUGGAGUGGCCGAUGUCGGAUUAGCUAGUUGGUGAGGUAACGGCUCACCAAGGCGACGAUCCGUAGCUGGUCUGAGAGGAUGAUCAGCCACACUGGAACUGAGAACGGUCCAGACUCCUACGGGAGGCAGCAGUGGGGAAUUUUGGACAAUGGGGGCAACCCUGAUCCAGCCAUGCCGCGUGAGUGAAGAAGGCCUUCGGGUUGUAAAGCUCUUUCGGCCGGGAAGAAAUCGUGCUGGCUAAUACCCUGUAUGGAUGACGGUACCGGAAAAGAAGCACCGGCUAACUACGUGCCAGCCGCCGCCGUAA